Molecule: long non-coding RNA, 702 nt
Organism: Dioscorea cayenensis subsp. rotundata (Guinea yam)
Lineage: Eukaryota; Viridiplantae; Streptophyta; Magnoliopsida; Dioscoreales; Dioscoreaceae
Exons: 3
Source: RefSeq, a predicted model, not a curated record
UUCCAUGCUUUUUUUCUUGUUUUCCUUAUUCGGCCGAAUCUAUUUCCUUGAAAAAAAAAUUGUGUCGACUUGCUCUUUCGACGAAUCAACGGCUCUGCUUUCUUCCUCUCAUGCUCCUGAGGUUGGUGGUGAGGCAUCUUCUAAGGGGAAGGAAACUGCUGACCAGUGUGCGUGUCUCGAGACUACGACAUUGGACUGGGUUGUGCAGGACAGGCAGUAGGGUGACCUACCUUUUUUUUUCCCCCCUUGUUUAAGUUAGUUCAGUCUGCAUGUAAAUUUUAUGGAUCCACUAGACUUGAAUUUUGUGUACUAUUUCUGUACUUUGUUGUUGUAUCUUUUUGGUUGUAUGUGGAACCUUAGCUGGUCCUGUUGCGUACCUUAUAUCUUUUUUUAGUAAGUUGUGUUAGCAGGGUUGUUUUGGAGCCUGACGGUGACUAGGGGGUGGGAUGCUGUAGGGUCCCCUCCUUGUUGUCGUGGAGAUUGCCACGUGCCCGGCUAGGAUCAAGGCGUGACAAUAGCGCUACGACCUCCACCGCAUCAAGAUUAAGCAUCAUCAGGAUCAUUUCUAAAACCAUAGUAAGACUGAUCAUCAUCAUCACCAUCGUCAUCAUCAUUAUCAUUUGUAACAUCAUCAAAAAUACUGAGCAGCAAGACCUCCGUUGCAAUAAGCUUUCUUUUUAUAAAAUAAGUUUACAUCUUUUC